RNAcentral lists this ribosomal RNA (468 nucleotides) under uncultured bacterium. RNAcentral's name for it is "partial 16S ribosomal RNA". It matches the Rfam family "Bacterial small subunit ribosomal RNA", at positions 28 to 507 of the family's 1533-position model. The record is from RNAcentral.
GACGAACGCUGGCGGCGUGCUUAACACAUGCAAGUCGAACGGAAAGGCCCGGUUCUUGUGGGGUGCUCGAGUGGCGAACGGGUGAGUAACACGUGAGUAACCUGCCCUUGACUUUGGGAUAACUUCAGGAAACUGGGGCUAAUAUCGGAUAUGAGCUCCUUCUGCAUGGUGGGGGUGGGAAAGUUGCGGCGGUUGGGCAUGGACUCGCGGCUUAUCAGCGUGUUGGUGAGGUAGUGGAGUACAAAGGCUUUGACGGGUAGCCGGCCUGAGAGGGUGACCGGCCACAUUGGGACUGAGAUGGGGGCCAUACUCAUACGGGAGGAAGCAGUGGGAGAUAUUGCACACUGGGCGGAAGCAUGAUGCAGCAACGCCGCGUGCGGGAUGACGGCCUUCGGGUUGUAACCCGCUUUCGCCUGUGACGAAGCGUGAGUGACGGUAAUGGGUAAAGAAGCACCGGCUAACUACGUG